RNAcentral lists this ribosomal RNA (635 nucleotides) under uncultured Arcobacter sp. Its description in RNAcentral is "bacterial SSU rRNA". It matches the Rfam family "Bacterial small subunit ribosomal RNA", at positions 897 to 1533 of the family's 1533-position model. Lineage: Bacteria; Pseudomonadati; Campylobacterota; Epsilonproteobacteria; Campylobacterales; Arcobacteraceae. The record is from RNAcentral.
AAACUCAAAGGAAUUGACGGGGACCCGCACAAGCGGUGGAGCAUGUGGUUUAAUUCGACGAUACACGAAGAACCUUACCUGGACUUGACAUAGUAAGAACUUUCUAGAGAUAGAUUGGUGUCUGCUUGCAGAAACUUAUAUACAGGUGCUGCACGGCUGUCGUCAGCUCGUGUCGUGAGAUGUUGGGUUAAGUCCCGCAACGAGCGCAACCCUCGUCAUUAGUUGCUAACAGUUCGGCUGAGAACUCUAAUGAGACUGCCUACGCAAGUAGGAGGAAGGUGAGGACGACGUCAAGUCAUCAUGGCCCUUACGUCCAGGGCUACACACGUGCUACAAUGGGGUAUACAAAGAGCAGCAAUACAGUGAUGUGGAGCAAAUCUCAAAAUAUCUCCCAGUUCGGAUUGUAGUCUGCAACUCGACUACAUGAAGUUGGAAUCGCUAGUAAUCGUAGAUCAGCUAUGCUACGGUGAAUACGUUCCCGGGUCUUGUACUCACCGCCCGUCACACCAUGGGAGUUGAACUCAUUCGAAGCGGGGAUGCUAAAGUAGCUACCUUCCACAGUGGAUUCAGCGACUGGGGUGAAGUCGUAACAAGGUAACCGUAGGAGAACCUGCGGUUGGAUCACCUCCUUUAUG